Molecule: long non-coding RNA, 3668 nt
Organism: Sapajus apella (tufted capuchin)
Lineage: Eukaryota; Metazoa; Chordata; Mammalia; Primates; Cebidae
Exons: 2
Source: RefSeq, a predicted model, not a curated record
UACAGGUGUGAGCCACAAUGCCCGGCCUUUUUUUUUUUUUUUUUUAAGCUCUCUCUUCAUUCUCUUGUCCUUUCAGGAGUCUGAUGACAUUAAUGUUAUAUAUUAUUCUCUCUUGCUAUAGUUCCACAGGUUGCUGAGGCUCUGUUCAUUUUUCUGAGUCUAUUUUGUCUCUGUUUCUCUGAUGGGAUAAUUCUGCUGUUCAGUGUUUGAGUUCCCUGGGUUUUUUCCUCUGUCCCCUCCAUUUUUCUGUUGAGAACAUUCACUGAAUUUUAAAAUUUUGAUCAACGUGUUUUUCCAUUCUAAAAUUUCCAUUUUUUUCUUCAUGUCUUUUAUUUAUUUGUAGAGGCUUUAUAUUUCUUUGAUGAGACUUCCUGUUUUUUCGUUUGUUUCAAGCACAUUCAUAAUUGCUUGUUCAAGCAAUUUUAUCAUGGCUAAUUUAAAAUCUUAGAUAAUUAAAAAAUCUCUGUCAUCUUGAUGUUGGCAUCUAGUGGUUGUUUUUUGCAUUCAGUUUGAAUUAUUUCUGGUUCUUGUUAUGAUGAGUACUUUUUUAUUAAAAUCUGGACAUUUUGGGAAUUAGGUUAUGAGACUCUAGAUUUUAUUCUUAUCUGCUUUAUCUGGAUUCCUGUGACACUGCUCUGCUGGGUGAAGUGGGUGGGGAUGCUUUGCCUCAUGACUGCCAGGUGUGAGUAGAAAUCUAGGUUCUUCACUUAGCCUUCCAUGACACCCAAGGGGAGGCUCUUAUUAUUGCUGGGCAAGGAGGGGACAUCUGUCUCCCUACUUAGGCUUUCACUUAUACCUCUCUAGUAGGGAGACGUUGGAUUUCCUUGUUAUUGCUACCCACAUGUGAAAUGAUGUGGUCACUUUAGAAAACAGUUGGGCAGUUCUUCAAAAAGAGGUACUGUAAGUCCCAGCAAUGCCACUACUAGGUAUAAGCCCAAGAAAAAUAAAAACGUAUGUCCAGACAAUAAUUUGUACACCAGUGUUUGUACCAGCAUUAUUUAUUUAGCUAAAAAAUGAAACAAUUUAGUCUGUCAACUGAAGAAUGGACAAACCAAAUGUAUAUCCAUACAAUGGAAUAUUAUUCAGCAGUAAUAGGAAAUGAGGUAUUGAUCAUGCUACGACAUGGAUGAACCUUGAAACAUUAAGCUAAGUGAAAGAAGGCAGUCACAGAGGACUAAAUAUUGUGUGAUUCCAUUUAUAUGAAAUGUCCAGAAGAGGUAAAUAUAUGGGGACAUAAAAUAGAUUCAUAGCUGUCUAGAACUGGGGGGUGAGUUGUGGGCAUAUGUGAAAUGACUGCUAAUGGUAUGGAGUUUUUUGGGGCUCAUGAAAGUGUUUUAAAAUUAAUUGUGAUAGUGGUUAUACAAACUUGUAAAUAUACUAAAAACCAAUAAUGUGUACACUUUAAAUGGGUGAAUUAUGUGCUAUGUGAUUUAUAUUUCUAUAAGAGUUUACAAACAAGUAAAGAAAACUCAGAGAACUUAACAUCUUGUAUUUCCUGAGGUUCCAACAUCUCUCGCCCGUAUGCUUGUUUCUCUCCACCUUUCAGAGCCCUCUUGUCUUUGUUUAUGUAUAAUAUCUAGGGUUUUUAGUGGAUAAAUAGAGAAAAUUGCAUUUAAUUUAUCUUGUCCUGUUAGCAGAAGUCAUUUGUUUUCAAAAUUACCUUUUAACUUUUAUUUUUCAAAUUAGCUUAUAAUUUUUUUUGUCCUAUAAACUUUAACACACAUAUAGAUGGGUUAACACAUAUAUGUUAAUCCUGGUUACCAUAACCAGGAUACAGAACAGUACUAUUAACCCGCAAACUGCUGUGUGCUAUUCCUCUGUAGUCAUAACCUUUCCUUAUUUCUAAAUUCUGACAAUACUGGUCUGUUUUCUGUUACUAUAUAAAUGGAAUUAUAAAAAGAAUAAGUGAUUUUUGGGAAUAGCUUUGUUUGUUCAGUGUAGUGCCUUUGAGAUUCAUUGAAGUUGGUCUGUGUAUCAGUAAUUUGUUUCUUUUUCUUCUGGAUUAGUACUCCAUUAUAUGGGUGUACAUACCACAGGUUGUCUAUACAUUCAGUCAUUAAAGGAUAUUUGCGUUGUUUCCAUUUUUGAUGAUGAGGAAUGGAGUUUUCAAAAACAUUUGUGUACAGGAUUUUCAUUUACAUAGUUUUAAUUUCUCUAGGGUAAAUACUUGGUAUGGGAUUUCUGGGUCAUAUGUUAAGUAUAUGUUUAACUUUAUAAGGAACUGCCAAACUGUGUUCCAGAGCAGUUCUACCAUUUUGCAUAGCUGCCAGCAAGGUUUGAGAGUUCUAGCUCUCUUGCAUCCUCACCAGCACUUGAUAUUGUAUUUUUAAAUUUUAGGUAUUGUCAUAGUAUGUGGCAGUAGUUAUUGUACUUUUAGCUUCUAUUUCUGUAAUGGCUAAUUAUGGUGAAUAUCUUUUCAUGUGCUUAUUUGCCACACUAUAUCCUUUUUGGGCAAGUGUCUGCUUGAGUCUUUUGUCCAUAUUUAAAUUGGAUUAUUUGUUUUUGUAUUAUUGAUUUUUGUGGAUUCUGUCUACAAGUUUUUUGUUGAAUAUGUGAUUUGCAAAUAUUAUUUCUCAUUUGGUAGUUUAUCUUCUUCUUUCAGCAGUGAUUUUCUAAGAGCAAAGGUUUUAUAAUUUGAGGAAUUCCAAUUUAUCAAUUGCAUCUUACUUAGAUUGUGCCUUUUUGUCUAAUAACUCUUUUUUUGUGUUUUUUUUUUUUACUUUUUUUUUUUUUUUGUCUACUAACUCUUUACUUAUGCCCUUGCCAUAAAGAUUUUCUUCCAUGUCGUCUUCUUCUUCUUCUUUUUUUCUUUGAAACAGUGUCUCACUUACUCUGUAGCCCAAGCUGGAGUGAGCUGGUAUAAUCUUGGCUCACUGCAAACUCUUGUCUCCUGGGUUCAAGCGAUUCUCUUGCCUCAGCCUCCUGAGGAGCUGGGAUUACAGGUGAGCUUCCUCAUGGUUUCACAAUGGCUGUCACAGUUCCAGACAACACAUGAAGAAAGCUGUGUCCAAGGGCAUAAAGUGGACCUUCCUUUUUCUAUGUUUCUUUUAAAGAUCAAGAAAGAUUUUUCUGGCAGAAAAACUUUAUUAGUCAAAGUCCUGGCAGGAAACAGAUAGCUACACAGUGGCAGAUUAUCUUUUUCAUAAAUGGCUGCAGCAGUCUCUCUCAUCCCAUAUACUUUUCUAUAGUGAGAUCUUACCAUUCCCCCAUUAAGAGGUGAAGUCAAAUUCUCCUCUCUUUGAAUAUGAGUGGGCUUGUGAAUUUAUCGGUCAUUAGUAUAUAGCAGAAAUGAUGGCUGUGUGACCUUUUAGGCUAAGUCAUAUGAAAUGAUGCACCUUUUGCCUGAUUAGUUGGAACACUCACACUUGUAACCCUGAGCUGCCAUUAAGAAGUCCAACUGAGACAGCAAUGCUGUAGAGACCAAAUGUAGAAACUCUGGUCAACAGCUCAGUUGAGCUCUUAACUGACAAGCAGUAUUGACUGUAAGCCAUUUGAGUGCGCCAUCUUGGACAUCCGGUACAGUUAAGUUUUCAGAUGACUGCAGCCCAAGCUGACAUCUGACUACAACUCCAAGGAAGACCCAAAGAGAACAUUUUCCACCUGAGCCCUUCCCAAAUUCCUGACUCAAAAAUUGUGAGAAAAAUAAACUUGUUGUUUUAAGCCACUAA